Molecule: long non-coding RNA, 708 nt
Filed under: Vulpes vulpes (red fox)
Lineage: Eukaryota; Metazoa; Chordata; Mammalia; Carnivora; Canidae
Description: lncRNA (ENSVVUG00000011362.1)
Source: RNAcentral
GAGUCAGACUCUGCGGUGGGGUGAUUUUUCCUGGCUGCCCCAACCCCUGUGAAGUGAAGGGAGCGUUGGCCGGAUCACUGGUCCUCACCCCUGUUCUUUCUACAGAUAAGAAACUGACCUGUGCUUCUGUCUUUACAGCCUCUGAUAUCACAGCGUCCCAGAUUCGGCAAAUUGUGAAGUGUCACUGCCGGUCUUUGUUGCAUCCAUUAUGUAUUAUCUUUGAACAUUACUCCGAGUGUGUAGACCUUUCUGUGACUAUGCUCCGCAUUUUCUUCUGGGCAGAGUUGGCGGAGGCGCUGUGCGGUCGCAGACACAGAUGCACGGGCACGCUCACACGGCGCAGCCGGAGCGAGGGGCGGCGGUUCAGUGGGCCCAGUCCCCGUGAUGUGGACUCAUUACAGCUGUGAUCGUUGCUGAUGACAUUAAUGCAGUGUGCCGCUUCUGCAUCGCACGUGCCAUCUGCUCCCAUCAGCCCUGUGGGGAUGCCCCAGAGGCUCAGAGAAUGGAAGAGAGAACAAUCCAGAACUCCUUUCUCCAGACAGCAGCCAGGAAGGCAGUCCCAUUUCUCUGGGGCAGGUGGCCACAAAGCUGGAAGUUUCUUUCUACCCUUACCCAGCACCCAUGGGCGGCUCUUUACAAAUGUCUUUGCACGUCUACAAACCAAGCAUCGUUACCCCCUACUUCAGAGAUAAGAAAACUGAGAUUUGC